Molecule: transfer RNA, 66 nt
Filed under: Lanka ramakrishnai
Lineage: Eukaryota; Metazoa; Arthropoda; Insecta; Coleoptera; Chrysomelidae
Description: tRNA-Val
Source: RNAcentral
CAAAAUAGAGCUUAAAAAGUUUUUUAGUUACAUUAAAAAGUUAAUUGUUAAAUCAAUUUAUUUUGA